Molecule: ribosomal RNA, 496 nt
Filed under: uncultured bacterium
Lineage: Bacteria
Description: partial 16S ribosomal RNA
Rfam family: Bacterial small subunit ribosomal RNA
Source: RNAcentral
GAUGAACGCUGGCGGUGUGCCUAAUACAUGCAAGUCGAGCGAACGGACGAGAAGCUUGCUUUUCUGAUGUUAGCGGCGGACGGGUGAGUAACACGUGGAUAACCUACCUAUAAGACUGGGAUAACUUCGGGAAACCGGAGCUAAUACCGGAUAAUAUUUUGAACCGCAUGGUUCAAAAGUGAAAGACGGUCUUGCUGUCACUUAUAGAUGGAUCCGCGCUGCAUUAGCUAGUUGGUAAGGUAACGGCUUACCAAGGCAACGAUGCAUAGCCGACCUGAGAGGGUGAUCGGCCACACUGGAACUGAGACACGGUCCAGACUCCUACGGGAGGCAGCAGUAGGGAAUCUUCCGCAAUGGGCGAAAGCCUGACGGAGCAACGCCGCGUGAGUGAUGAAGGGCUUCGGAUCGUAAAACGCUGUUAUUAGGGAAGAACAUAUGUGUAAGUAACUGUGCACAUCUUGACGGUACCUAAUCAGAAAGCCACGGCUAACUACGU